GAGUAAAAUAAAUAUGGUACAUUUAUUAACUGAUAAUCGGAAUAGGUUAGAAUUAAAAUAAAUAUGACAAUUGUUUGAUAUGUCAUUUAUGGAAACAUCAUUAUAGAUUACGAUUGUUAUGUCAUUUAUGGUAGCAUCGCUAUAGAUUACAAUGGUUUGAUAUGACAUUUAUGGUAAUGUCAUUGUCACUCAUUUAUGACAACGCUAAUGCCGGUCAUAAGAUAUACUAUAGAUUUUACCUAUCACAUGCCUGUCACACCACAAUCAAAUGCGAAAAUUCAAAUUUAUUUAAAUUUUGGGCUUCUUUUUUAAAAUCCUUAAUGAAAAAUUGAUAUUAUUUAAAAAUGUAAUUAUUAUUUGAAUUGUAUUUUUAUUAUUAUUUGAAUUUAUUAUUAUUAUUAUUAUUUAUUUUUACUUUACACGUUCCCAAGUUUGUAAAUAUGCUCUUAGAAAUCUAAUUUGUAAAUAUAAAAUGAAUACAAAAUAUAAUGCUAAUAAUUAAAAAUCCAAUAAAAAAUAAAAUCCAUGAAAUUUUAAUAUAUUGAAAUUACAAUCCAUUUUACUAUACAAACUACAACCACACCAAUUGUUGAAGUAAUCAUUGACAAUUUUAGUAAAAUACCAAUGAAUAAAAUAAAUAUGGUAUAUUUAUUAACUGGUAAUCGGAAUAGACUAGAAUUAAAAUAAAUAUGACAAUUGUUUGAUAUGUCAUUUAUGGUAACAUCACUAUAGAUACAAGUGUUAUGUCAUUUAUGGUAGCAUCACUAUAGAUUACAAUGGUUUGAUAUGACAUUUAUGGUAAUGUCAUUGUCACUCAUUUAUGACAACGCUAAUGCCGGUCAUAAGAUAUAUUAUAGGUUUUACCUAUCACAUGCCUGUCACACCACAAUCAAAUGCGAAAAUUCAAAUUUAUUUAAAUUUUGGGCUUCUUUUUUAAAAUCCUUAACGAAAAAUUGAUAUUAUUUAAAAAUGCAAUUAU
This 979-nucleotide long non-coding RNA is filed under the name Citrus x clementina. Its description in RNAcentral is "Citrus clementina (C. clementina) long non-coding RNA (CCLE_LNC003528)". Lineage: Eukaryota; Viridiplantae; Streptophyta; Magnoliopsida; Sapindales; Rutaceae. The record is from RNAcentral.